CACCAACCAGNNGACCGGACACGACCGACNGACCACGGAAGAGACGGNGGGCCCCCACACGANAANAAGGCCCUNGGACAAUNAAACACGAACAANGGNUNUCGAAAANUNANAGAAAACAAAAAAAGAAAACCCCGGNCCCAAACUUCCCUGACCAAACAAACCGCGGAUAAUACGAAGGGGGCUAGACGUNGUNCGGAUUUACUGGGCGUAAAGCGCGCGUAGGCGGNUUCNCAAAGUUAGAGGUGAAAGGCCGGGGCUCAACCCCGGAACGGCCUUUGAUACUGGAGGACUCGAGUCCGGGAGAGGGUGGUGGAACCCCAAGUGUAGAGGUGAAAUCCGCAGAUAUUUGGAAGAACACCGGUGGCGAAGGCGGCCACCUGGCCCGGUACUGACGCUGAGGCGCGAAAGCGUGGGGAGCGAACAGGAUUAGAUACCCUGGGUAGUCCACGCCGUAAACGAAGAGUGCCGGUCGACCNGAAACACNCACCUCGGGGACGAAGNCAAACGCGCNCAAGCACNCCGCCCGGGAAGNACGACCGCCANGGGCAA
This 552-nucleotide ribosomal RNA is filed under the name uncultured bacterium. RNAcentral describes it as "partial 16S ribosomal RNA". The stretch from base 171 to 552 matches the Rfam family "Bacterial small subunit ribosomal RNA", at positions 1 to 897 of the family's 1533-position model. The record is from RNAcentral.